GAAUAUUGCACAAUGGGGGAAACCCUGAUGCAGCGACGCCGCGUGAGUGAUGAAGGUUUUCGGAUCGUAAAGCUCUAUCAGCAGGGAAGAUAAUGACGGUACCUGACUAAGAAGCCCCGGCUAACUACGUGCCAGCAGCCGCGGUAAUACGUAGGGGGCAAGCGUUAUCCGGAUUUACUGGGUGUAAAGGGAGCGCAGGUGGCAGUAUAAGUCAGAUGUGAAAGCCCAGGGCUCAACCCUGGGACUGCAUUUGAAACUAUACUGCUAGAGUGCAGGAGAGGUAAGUGGAAUUCCUAGUGUAGCGGUGAAAUGCGUAGAUAUUAGGAGGAACACCAGUGGCGAAGGCGGCUUACUGGACUGUAACUGACACUGAGGCUCGAAAGCGUGGGGGAGC
This 394-nucleotide ribosomal RNA is filed under the name uncultured Clostridium sp. RNAcentral's name for it is "bacterial SSU rRNA". It matches the Rfam family "Bacterial small subunit ribosomal RNA", at positions 359 to 769 of the family's 1533-position model. Lineage: Bacteria; Bacillati; Bacillota; Clostridia; Eubacteriales; Clostridiaceae. The record is from RNAcentral.